This 254-nucleotide unclassified non-coding RNA is filed under the name Hevea brasiliensis (rubber tree). The record is from RNAcentral. Lineage: Eukaryota; Viridiplantae; Streptophyta; Magnoliopsida; Malpighiales; Euphorbiaceae.
GUUUAACCAAAAUCCGAUUCAAUCCAGGCACCCAAUAUAAGUUCAAGCAACCUAAUGGCAGCAUAGAACAUUAGAUUCAAUGGAUCACAAGAUACGGGGAAAAAUAUAGGGAUGAAAAUUAUUAUUUAUUUAGGUGUUUAUUGACAGGAACAUUAAAUCUAUUCUUUCUUGGCAUGUGCAAGAAGUCUGGCAAAGAAUAGUCCAAUCUCCUUACCCCUUGUUGGCUAUGGAUAUAGAAGUCAUAGCAAACUCAU